GAUGAACGCUGGCGGCGUGCCUAAUACAUGCAAGUCGAGCGAACGGACGAGAAGCUUGCUUCUCUGAUGUUAGCGGCGGACGGGUGAGUAACACGUGGAUAACCUACCUAUAAGACUGGGAUAACUUCGGGAAACCGGAGCUAAUACCGGAUGAUAUUUUGAACCGCAUGGUUCAAAAGUGAAAGACGGUCUUGCUGUCACUUAUAGAUGGAUCCGCGCUGCAUUAGCUAGUUGGCAAGGUAACGGCUUACCAAGGCAACGAUGCAUAGCCGACCUGAGAGGGUGAUCGGCCACACUGGAACUGGGACACGUUCCGGACUCCUACGGGGGGCAGAAGUAGGAAAUCUUCCGCAAUGGGCGAAAGCCUGACGGAGCAACGCGGCGUGAGUGAUGAGGGUCUUCGAUUCGUAAACCUCUGUUAUAAGGAAAGAACAUAUGUGUAAGUAACUGUGCACAUCUGGACGGUACCUAAUCAAAAAGCCACGCCAACCUACGU
This 496-nucleotide ribosomal RNA is filed under the name uncultured bacterium. Its description in RNAcentral is "partial 16S ribosomal RNA". It matches the Rfam family "Bacterial small subunit ribosomal RNA", at positions 28 to 506 of the family's 1533-position model. The record is from RNAcentral.